GGGAAAGUUUAGCGGCGGACGGGUGAGUAACACGUAGGCAACCUGCCCUCAAGACUGGGAUAACCUCCGGAAACGGAUGCUAAUACCGGAUAUGCGGUUUCUCCUCCUGGAGAGAUCGGGAAAGACGGAGCAAUCUGUCGCUUGGGGAUGGGCCUGCGGCGCAUUAGCUAGUUGGUGAGGUAACGGCUCACCAAGGCGACGAUGCGUAGCCGACCUGAGAGGGUGAUCGGCCACACUGGGACUGAGACACGGCCCAGACUCCUACGGGAGGCAGCAGUAGGGAAUCUUCCGCAAUGGACGCAAGUCUGACGGAGCAACGCCGCGUGAGUGAGGAAGGCCUUCGGGUCGUAAAGCUCUGUUGCCAGGGAAGAACGGUUGGAAGAGUAGCUGCUUCCGCCAUGACGGUACCUGAGAAGACAGCCACGGCUAACUACGUGCCAGCAGCCGCGCUAAUACGUAUUGGGCGAGCGUUGACCGGAAUUAUUGGACGUAAAGCGCGCGCAGGGGGCUUUGUAAGUCCGGUGUUUGAUCUUGUUGCUCAACCCCAAGUCGCGCGGCAAACUGCAAGGCUUGAGUGCAGAACAGGAAAGUGGAAUUCCACGUGUAGCGGUGAAAUGCGUAUAGAUGUGGAGGAACACCAGUGGCGAAGGCGACUUUCUGGGCUGUAGCUGACGCUGAGGCGCGAAAGCGUGAGGAGGAUACAGCAUUACAUACCCUGGUAGUCCACGCCGUAGACGAUGAAUGCUAAGUGUUAGGGUUUUCGAUACCUUUGGUGCCGAAGUUACACAGUAAACAUUCUACUUGGCCAGUACGCUCGCAACAUGGAACUCAAACGAAUUGCGGCGACUUGCAUAGUGAGACACCCGGCUUAAAAAUAA
RNAcentral lists this ribosomal RNA (878 nucleotides) under Hansenula anomala. Its description in RNAcentral is "SSU rRNA". It matches the Rfam family "Bacterial small subunit ribosomal RNA", at positions 84 to 955 of the family's 1533-position model. The record is from RNAcentral. Lineage: Eukaryota; Fungi; Ascomycota; Saccharomycetes; Phaffomycetales; Wickerhamomycetaceae.